CGGUUGYUAGUGAGGCGUCCGGACUGGCCCAGAGAGGUGGGCAACUACCACUCAGGGYCGGAAAGCUCUCCRAACUSGGUCAUUUAGAGGAAGUAAAAGUCGUAACAAGGUCUCCGUUGGUGAACCAGCGGAGGGAUCAUUACCGAGUUUACAACUCCCAAACCCCUGUGAACAUACCACUUGUUGCCUCGGCGGAUCAGCCCGCUCCCGGUAAAACGGGACGGCCCGCCAGAGGACCCCUAAACUCUGUUUCUAUAUGUAACUUCUGAGUAAAACCAUAAAUAAAUCAAAACUUUCAACAACGGAUCUCUUGGUUCUGGCAUCGAUGAAGAACGCAGCAAAAUGCGAUAAGUAAUGUGAAUUGCAGAAUUCAGUGAAUCAUCGAAUCUUUGAACGCACAUUGCGCCCGCCAGUAUUCUGGCGGGCAUGCCUGUUCGAGCGUCAUUUCAACCCUCAAGCACAGCUUGGUGUUGGGACUCGCGUUAAUUCGCGUUCCUCAAAUUGAUUGGCGGUCACGUCGAGCUUCCAUAGCGUAGUAGUAAAACCCUCGUUACUGGUAAUCGUCGCGGCCACGCCGUUAAACCCCAACUUCUGAAUGUUGACCUCGGAUCAGGUAGGAAUACCCGUAAACUUUWARSCA
Molecule: ribosomal RNA, 640 nt
Filed under: Fusarium oxysporum f. sp. vanillae
Lineage: Eukaryota; Fungi; Ascomycota; Sordariomycetes; Hypocreales; Nectriaceae
Description: eukaryotic LSU rRNA
Source: RNAcentral